RNAcentral lists this ribosomal RNA (489 nucleotides) under uncultured bacterium. Its description in RNAcentral is "partial 16S ribosomal RNA". It matches the Rfam family "Bacterial small subunit ribosomal RNA", at positions 28 to 506 of the family's 1533-position model. The record is from RNAcentral.
GAUGAACGCUAGCGAUAGGCUUAACACAUGCAAGUCGAGGGGCAGCAUGGUCUUAGCUUGCUAAGACUGAUGGCGACCGGCGCACGGGUGCGUAACGCGUAUGCAACUUGCCUCACAGAGGGGGAUAACCCGUCGAAAGACGGACUAAUACCGCGUACACUUGGGAUAGGGCAUCCUGACCCAAGGAAAUGAAAUUCGCUGUGAGAUAGGCAUGCGUCCCAUUAGCUAGUUGGUGAGGUAACGGCUCACCAAGGCGACGAUGGGUAGGGGAACUGAGAGGUUGAACCCCCGCACUGGUACUGAGACACGGCCCAGACUCCUACGGGCGGCAGCAGUGAGGACUAUUGGUCAAUGGGCGAGAGCCUGAACCAGCCAAGUCGCGUGAAGGAUGACUGUCUUAUGGAUUGUAAACUUCUUUUAUACGGGAAUAACAAGAGCCACGUGUGGCUCCCUGCAUGUACCGUAUGAAUAAGCAUCGGCUAACUCCGU